AUCAUUUGCCUUUUAAUGGAGGCUAGUAUGAAUGGCAAGACGGAACGUUUAGCUGUCUCUCUUCUAAGUUCUUGAAUUUAUUAUCUUUGUGAAGAAACGAAGAUCAAGUCGUAGGACGAGAAGACCCUAUCGAGCUUUAGCUGUAAAUUAAGAUUAAAAAUCUUUUAUUUAUUGGGCUAAUAAAGUUAAAAGUUAGUUUUACUUAGUAAGUAGAAGUAAAUUGUUAAUAGAAUGUUUUGGUUGGGGCAACUGCGGAGAGAAAUUAUCCUCCGCUUUUUAUAGUAGAAAAAAUUACCAUUUUGGAAAGUUAAAGUUAAAAAGUGAUCCACUCUUAGAGUGAUCAAGGAAUAAGUUACCGUAGGGAUAACAGCGUAAUUUUUUUGGAGAGUUCAUAUUGAUAAAAAGUUUGCGACCUCGAUGUUGGAUCGGGACUUCCAGGAGAUGCAGCAGUUUCCAAGGGUUGGUCUGUUCGACCAUUAAAGUCCUACGUGAUCUGAGGUC
This 501-nucleotide ribosomal RNA is filed under the name Astropecten latespinosus. RNAcentral describes it as "partial 16S ribosomal RNA". It matches the Rfam family "Bacterial large subunit ribosomal RNA", at positions 1964 to 2612 of the family's 2925-position model. Lineage: Eukaryota; Metazoa; Echinodermata; Asteroidea; Paxillosida; Astropectinidae. The record is from RNAcentral.